GAUAAACGCUGGCGGCGUGCCUAACACAUGCAAGUCGAACGUCCUGUUCUCUCUUCGGAGAGAAGAGGGAGUGGCGCACGGGUGAGUAAGACGUGGGAACCUGCCCUCGGGUGAGGAAUACCACCGGGAAACCGGUGACAAGACCGCAUACGUUCCCCUUUGGGGGAGCAAAGCUUCUCGCACGAGAGGUGCCCGGGGAGGGGCCUGCGGCCGAUUAGCUAGCUGGUGGGGUAAGAGCCUACCAGGGCGACGAUCGGUAGCUGGUCUGAGAGGACGA
Molecule: ribosomal RNA, 277 nt
Filed under: uncultured bacterium
Lineage: Bacteria
Description: partial 16S ribosomal RNA
Rfam family: Bacterial small subunit ribosomal RNA
Source: RNAcentral